RNAcentral lists this transfer RNA (74 nucleotides) under bacterium. RNAcentral describes it as "tRNA-Val". It matches the Rfam family "tRNA". Rfam says of the family: Transfer RNA (tRNA) molecules are approximately 80 nucleotides in length. Their secondary structure includes four short double-helical elements and three loops (D, anti-codon, and T loops). Further hydrogen bonds mediate the characteristic L-shaped molecular structure. tRNAs have two regions of fundamental functional importance: the anti-codon, which is responsible for specific mRNA codon recognition, and the 3' end, to which the tRNAs corresponding amino acid is attached (by aminoacyl-tRNA synthetases). tRNAs cope with the degeneracy of the genetic code in two manners: having more than one tRNA (with a specific anti-codon) for a particular amino acid; and 'wobble' base-pairing, i.e. permitting non-standard base-pairing at the 3rd anti-codon position. The record is from RNAcentral. RNAcentral also lists the same sequence under 1 other name.
GCGUCCGUAGCUCAGUUGGUUAGAGUAUCACAUUGACAUUGUGGGGGUCACUGGUUCGAAUCCAGUCGGACGCA